Molecule: long non-coding RNA, 473 nt
Organism: Rhinolophus ferrumequinum (greater horseshoe bat)
Lineage: Eukaryota; Metazoa; Chordata; Mammalia; Chiroptera; Rhinolophidae
Exons: 3
Source: RefSeq, a predicted model, not a curated record
AAAGCAGAGGGCUGGGAUUCAGUCGGGACGGCCCCUUAAAGACCCAGACGGGGGACGCCUCUGAUUUCAGCAGCUCACUCCGAUGAGUUAUUGAUUGCAGGCAGCAACAAUCCCUCCGGAUGAUUUGUGUGGAAAGUGAAUCCGCAACUGGCUGGGCGUUCAGAGAGGCGCAACAGCCCAACGCCAUUCAAUUAUUGCCGGUCCUCCCCUCAACACUGCUCUCACCACCUCCACACUCCUUUCUCCACACCGCUCCGCUUCCCCUCACCCACUUUGCUCCGCGCGGACAGAGCUGAGGGGGCGGGGGCUCCCUCAUGGGAGCGUUUCUAGAGCUCCGAGGCAGCUAGUAGGGGGGCACCACUUUCAGAUAAAAACAUAGACCUGAAUGGCAUCAUCCAGUAUCCAAGGAAACCAUGAACAAUAACUCUGCUCUGAGAUUCCAGCUAUGGUGGUACAGCCUGGGGAAUAUAAAA